Molecule: non-coding RNA, 23 nt
Filed under: Cricetulus griseus (Chinese hamster)
Lineage: Eukaryota; Metazoa; Chordata; Mammalia; Rodentia; Cricetidae
Also listed under: 1 other name
Source: RNAcentral
AAGUGAAGAAAUUCAAUGAAGCG